UUCCUCGUGGUCAAGAGCCGCCAGGACUUCUUCAUGAUCAGCGGAGCUUGGUGGGUCGGAUGGAUUUUGAGGGUCGGAUAUGGUUGGGUUGAUAGUUUACAACUAGUAAUAGGUGCUAAGGAAAUUAGGGAAAAGUAAGGUUUGUUGCUUAAGCGUGUUUUAAACCAAUAAGCAUAUUCUUGAUCAAGUAUCAUGUCAC
RNAcentral lists this long non-coding RNA (199 nucleotides) under Setaria italica (foxtail millet). RNAcentral's name for it is "long non-coding RNA (SITA_LNC005166)". The record is from RNAcentral. Lineage: Eukaryota; Viridiplantae; Streptophyta; Magnoliopsida; Poales; Poaceae.